This 468-nucleotide ribosomal RNA is filed under the name uncultured bacterium. RNAcentral's name for it is "partial 16S ribosomal RNA". It matches the Rfam family "Bacterial small subunit ribosomal RNA", at positions 28 to 507 of the family's 1533-position model. The record is from RNAcentral.
GACGAACGCUGGCGGCGUGCUUAACACAUGCAAGUCGAACGGAAAGGCCCUGCUUUUGUGGGGUGCUCGAGUGGCGAACGGGUGAGUAACACGUGAGUAACCUGCCCUUGACUUUGGGAUAACUUCAGGAAACUGGGGCUAAUACCGGAUAGUAGCUCCUGCUGCAUGGUGGGUGUUGGAAAGUUUCGGCGGUUGGGGAUGGACUCGCGGCUUAUCAGCUUGUUGGUGGGGUAGUGGCUUACCAAGGCUUUGACGGGUAGCCGGCCUGAGAGGGUGACCGGCCACAUUGGGACUGAGAUACGGCCCAGACUCAUACGGGAGGCAGCAGUGGGGAAUAUUGCACAAUGGGCGGAAGCCUGAUGCAGCAACGCCGCGUGCGGGAUGACGGCCUUCGGGUUGUAAACCGCUUUCGCCUGUGACGAAGCGUGAGUGACGGUAAUGGGUAAAGAAGCACCGGCUAACUACGUG